This 430-nucleotide ribosomal RNA is filed under the name Acidobacteriota bacterium. Its description in RNAcentral is "Acidobacteria bacterium partial 16S ribosomal RNA". It matches the Rfam family "Bacterial small subunit ribosomal RNA", at positions 355 to 776 of the family's 1533-position model. Lineage: Bacteria; Pseudomonadati; Acidobacteriota. The record is from RNAcentral.
UGGGGAAUAUUGGACAAUGGGCGCAAGCCUGAUCCAGCCAUGCCGCGUGUGUGAAGAAGGCCUUUUGGUUGUAAAGCACUUUAAGCGAGGAGGAGGCUACUUGGAUUAAUACUCUAGGAUAGUGGACGUUACUCGCAGAAUAAGCACCGGCUAACUCUGUGCCAGCAGCCGCGGUAAUACAGAGGGUGCGAGCGUUAAUCGGAUUUACUGGGCGUAAAGCGUGCGUAGGCGGCUUCUUAAGUCGGAUGUGAAAUCCCUGAGCUUAACUUAGGAAUUGCAUUCGAUACGGGGAAGCUAGAGUAUGGGAGAGGAUGGUAGAAUUCCAGGUGUAGCGGUGAAAUGCGUAGAGAUCUGGAGGAAUACCGAUGGCGAAGGCAGCCAUCUGGCCUAAUACUGACGCUGAGGUACGAAAGCAUGGGGAGCAAACAGG